CGCCACCCCACCUUCAUUACAAAGUAGGCCUAUAACUGGUUAGUUCGCUCUUGCACUUCUUUAAAAAGCUACAAAUGGAGGAUGAAGAAAAAAAAACACCUCCAUCGCAUUCGAGCCCAAUCCCUGGGAUACCUGAUAAACCGAUGAGGAGGCUAGCAAGUCAGACCAUGAGGGAGCUAGCAAAGCUAGCAAUAGCACUUCAGGCCCAACCAUUAAGGACUCGGGAGCUAGCAGGUCAGCAGCCAAGAGGAGGUUUGCGUUUCUACUGCCUUGAUUUCAACAACAGCCCAGGAUAACCAUCGCUCUGCACACCUGCGGAUUUGUCUGCAGUAGACGAACCGCCAACACAACCAAAAUUAGGGACAUCCUCCUGACCCAGAGCGACAUCCUCCUGACCCAGAGCGACAUCCUCCUGACCCAGAGCGGCAUCAUCCUGACCCGGAGCGACAUCAUCCUGAUCCGGAGCGACAUCAUCAAUUCCUUCCUAAAUGAUUGUAACACAACACCCCAAUUAAACAGACAGGAAGAUGGAGUGUUCCCAAACAAACAGACCAGUCAGUCAAGCCAUGGAGGGCAAAGCAUCCCCAAGGACUCUAGACAAACUAUGGUGCAGAGAAUUUGGCGUCUUUUGGCUGCCAUUUGAGACGCGUAGUAGCUGAUGAACGUUCAAUGAACAAUUUACAUUGUUGGUGUUUCCAGAAGGACGUCGUGGCUGGUGAUGAACCAAGUUUGCUGCAGACCAUGUCUCUAAACACAAGCAGUUGUUAAUCGGGUUGUGUGUUACUGAGGGAGGACCAGAUGUUCAAUGCCGGUCAACACGUUCCAGAACCCUGGUCAAUUCUCAAAGGAUUUCAGAUUUAAUGAAACCAAUUGAAAAAAUUUUUUUAUGAAAGGGUAUUUCUCUGAGGGAAGGUGAAGGUAUUCUAGCCUGUAUGUGAGUGUUUGGCCCUGGUUCUUUGAAGUCAUUCCUGGUUACGUUUUUAGAUGGACAGAUCAGAGCCAUGGCUGGAACAUUUGAGAAGGAAACAGGGCUAUUGGAGACCACAUCAAGCUUUGCUGGGUGACGUGAUGCCUUGAAACACGUGCCUGAAUGGACUUUGAUCCUGAUUCUCUUUUGUCGUGUUGUUGUGCCGCUCAAGCGCUGCGGCUCUUUUCUGGCUUCUUUCUCAGAUACGGCAGAAACAGUUGUACAAAAGUCCUGAUCAAUCUACUUGACAUAUGGCGAGUAUAGAAAUCAUCCCGUCUUAACGAACCUGGUCUAAAGUAGAGCACUAUUUGGACAAAUAGGCUUCCAUUUGGAAUUAACACGGGAGGUUGCUGAGCCUCUGUGGUGGUUCCCCAGACACGUGAAGUGGUUCCAUUUCUUCCCCUGAGGACCUGUGGGUAUUAAAGGAUGAGCCAUGGUCAAUUUGUACAUUAAAUUAUGGGUUGGAGACCCAUACAAGAGAAAACCCAUCAAGCAACAUCGUUUGUGGAGACCAUGUUGGAGGAUCCACCCAGUCUGAAGGAGACCUGGAUGAGGAAUCACCAUCAUCCAUCCUUCCCUCCCUGAAGGGUUAUCCUGUCGCCUGAUUCCCAGACAACUAAAUCAUCCUCUGCUGACCAAGAUAAACUUCCUCCACUGCCCUUGACAAACACACGUUACUCCAACACCGAAACUGCUGCGACUUUGAGCAUGUUUGUGUGGCAGGAGCGUUUGAUUGCAUGGAACUUCACUCUGUAAAAUGUAUUAAUUGAAAGUGAGACUGAACUGUUUCAAUUGUUUUCCAAGUGUGGCAAUAAAGAAAUGUCACCAGCAAAUACGAGCUGAGUGAUUUAACAUCUAAUAUGACAGACCUUAUCCACUGCAUUGUGCUCCAGAUUAAAUGAUGUCAGAGGACUUGCUUAAAGCCAAAUAUCAACCUGCGACACUUGUUAGAGUCCCUGCCAGUUCCCUAUAGGCUACAACCAUUCAUUCUCAAGAACCUGGCUUAGAUUUAACUGUGUGUGUGUGUGUGUGUGGUGAUCUGGUAACAACCUCCUAGCCAACCAGUAGCCAGAACAAACCUGCCAAUAAUGCCAAUAUUCAGUUUGUGUGUGUGUGUGUGUGUGUAUGUGUGUCUCUAACCUGACUAUGUAAUGGGGACCAAAACGGUCCUUUAACUGUGG
Molecule: long non-coding RNA, 2148 nt
Organism: Esox lucius (northern pike)
Lineage: Eukaryota; Metazoa; Chordata; Actinopteri; Esociformes; Esocidae
Source: Ensembl